Molecule: long non-coding RNA, 900 nt
Filed under: Cricetulus griseus (Chinese hamster)
Lineage: Eukaryota; Metazoa; Chordata; Mammalia; Rodentia; Cricetidae
Description: lncRNA (ENSCGRG00015043345.1)
Source: RNAcentral
GCCGGGAGGAUAAGCUGUGGUUGGAGACCUCAUCCUGACAGGUAUCCAGCAAAGAGCCCUCUUGGACCCACAGGCAAAUGAGCUGUUCUCUAAACACCUGUCUGAGGAAGAAACUUCCCAUCCAAGUGUGACUCAUGGUGGAGACUGAAAGAGCAGUUCUUCUGGGUGUGGUAGUGCAAGCUUGAAAUCUCAGAAGGCAGGAGACUGAGACAGCUGCAAGCCAUCCCGUCAUCCCAAGUUGCUGUCACUGGGAGGGGAUCAUCUGCAGGCAUGAGCAGCUGCUGUGUCUCUUACUCUCUGUAAAAACAAUCACUGCAGUCCACACUUUCUCAUUGGCACAAAGCUAGAUUUGAACAUUCCUGGAAAAUCAAGGAUGCACUUAGAGGAGUCGUCAAAAUUUAGGAAAUUUGGGGAUUUUGUCUACUGUAUAGGAUAUACUAAGGGGACAUGACAGGUCUUGAGAAGAUUGGCAGGAUGGGUGUCUUGAUCUGUUUUCUGUUGCUACAGCAGACUCUCUGAAACUGACAGCAUGUUUGGGGGUUCAGUGUGAGACAAGCCUCCACAUUACAACACUGACACUUGAUCUCAGCCAAAAGAAUGAGAAGCAGUAAGACUGGAGGUUUAUCAAGCUCAUUCAGUUUGUGGCUGCAGGAGCUAGAGGUCCAAGAUUGUGUGGCCACAGUGGGCAGGAUGGCAGCCACUGCACAAGCAGAUGUGAUACCUCCAACAGCCCACUCUGAGGGACAAGGCCCUCAUACCCUGAGGACCUGAUCUCCUUCCUCAUCAGGCCCUGCCUCAAGCUAUAUCCAUCCACAGCUGGCCCACCUGAAACUGACAGAGGAUGAAAUAGCAGAGGGGCUGUCUUGAGUUGCAGUGGUCUGAAAUCAUAUUGACAGAGCU